AUGAAGGAUACGGGAGAGAGUCGAAAGACCGCCGAAGGUAUAAGUUGUUACUAUGCCAGUAACAAUAAAGAUCUCAGGCAAAAGGACCGUAUCUAGACA
RNAcentral lists this non-coding RNA (99 nucleotides) under Caminicella sporogenes. Its description in RNAcentral is "Glycine sequence". It matches the Rfam family "Glycine riboswitch aptamer". Rfam says of the family: This family represents the bacterial glycine riboswitch. Glycine riboswitches usually consist of two metabolite-binding aptamers domains with similar structures in tandem. The aptamers cooperatively bind glycine to regulate the expression of downstream genes. The record is from RNAcentral. RNAcentral also lists the same sequence under 1 other name. Lineage: Bacteria; Bacillati; Bacillota; Clostridia; Peptostreptococcales; Caminicellaceae.